Molecule: ribosomal RNA, 468 nt
Filed under: uncultured bacterium
Lineage: Bacteria
Description: partial 16S ribosomal RNA
Rfam family: Bacterial small subunit ribosomal RNA
Source: RNAcentral
GACGAACGCUGGCGGCGUGCUUAACACAUGCAAGUCGAACGGAAAGGCACUGCUUUUGUGGGGUGCUCGAGUGGCGAACGGGUGAGUAACACGUGAGUAACCUGCCCUUGACUUUGGGAUAACUUCAGGAAACUGGGGCUAAUACCGGAUAGGAGCUCCUGCUGCAUGGUGGGGGUUGGAUCGUUUCGGCGGUUGGGGAUGGACGCGCGGGUAAUCAGCUUGUUGGUGGGGUAGUGGCUUACCAAGGCUUUGACCGGUAGCCGGCAUGAGAGGGUGACCGGCCACAUUAGGACUAAGAGACGGCCCAGACUCCUACGGGAGGCAGCAGGGGGGAAUAUUGCACAAUGGGCGGAAGCCGGAUGCAGCAACGCCGCGUGCGGGAUGACGGCCUUCGGGGUGUAAACCGCUUUCGCCUGUGACGAAGCGGGAGUGACGGUAAUGGGUAAAGAAGCACCGGCUAACUACGUG